CGCCAACGGUGGCCACGUCCUCCCUAAUGGAUAGUACAUUUAAGCUGUAUAGCAUCAAAGUCUUUUCCACUGAUUAUCCACUUUCCCAUUGGAGUGCUCUACUUAAACAAAUAGCUAACUAUGAGAAGAAUCUGAAGACAACAGCUUCUCCAUCUCAAAAGGCUAAUCCAGAACAACCUAAAAGGCUUUAUACUCUCAGCUAGCUGCUUCGAGACGAUAAUAAGCAAAUAAUGACAAAGGAUAUCAGGUUGAAGCAGGGCAACAAAAACAAAUGAAAUGUCCUAGGAAGCCCAGCAGCUGCCCAUCAUCUAAGAGAAGGCCAAGAGCCACUGUCACUCACAAAGUCCGUGACAAGAAGAUGAAAAAUAAUCCAACCCCACCUGAUGGCUUCUUGCCAAAUGCCGCUGCACCAGCAGUUACGAAUGUGGCAGGAAAUGGUAUUCCACUCAACCAACAGGGUUCGCUCUCUGAUGACUUCGCGAGAGACGGCCCGUCUCACAAACCUGGUAGUAAUUCACCUGGAGGAGGAGCCAAAAACAGCAGUGUCUCCGUAGGUGACCCAAAAGUCCCAGCGGUGCCUUCGGCAGGAGUUGUGCCAAAGGAAGUGCCAAUGAGUGCUGCUCUGGCACAGAAAAUUAAUAAUGAUAUAAAACAUCAAUUAAUGAAGGAAGUUCGGAAGUUUGGACGAAGGUAUGAAAGGAUUUUCACCUUGUUUGAAGAAGUUCAAGGGCCUCCUGUAGUCAAAAAACAAUUUGUUGAAUUUACCAUCAAGGAAGCUGCAA
Leopardus geoffroyi (Geoffroy's cat) is the source of this 782-nucleotide long non-coding RNA. RefSeq lists it as uncharacterized. The record is from RefSeq and is a predicted model, not a curated record. The transcript is spliced from 4 exons. NCBI's taxonomy places the organism in Eukaryota, Metazoa, Chordata, Mammalia, Carnivora, Felidae.